RNAcentral lists this ribosomal RNA (490 nucleotides) under uncultured bacterium. RNAcentral's name for it is "partial 16S ribosomal RNA". It matches the Rfam family "Bacterial small subunit ribosomal RNA", at positions 30 to 507 of the family's 1533-position model. The record is from RNAcentral.
AUUGAACGCUGGCGGCAGGCCUAACACAUGCAAGUCGAACGGUAACAGAAAGCAGCUUGCUGCUUUGCUGACGAGUGGCGGACGGGUGAGUAAUGUCUGGGAAACUGCCUGAUGGAGGGGGAUAACUACUGGAAACGGUAGCUAAUACCGCAUAACGUCGCAAGACCAAAGAGGGGGACCUUCGGGCCUCUUGCCAUCGGAUGUGCCCAGAUGGGAUUAGCUAGUAGGUGGGGUAACGGCUCACCUAGGCGACGAUCCCUAGCUGGUCUGAGAGGAUGACCAGCCACACUGGAACUGCGCCACGGUCCAGACUCCUACGGGAGGCAGCAGUGGGGAAUAUUGCACAAUGGGCGCAAGCCUGAUGCAGCCAUGCCGCGUGUAUGAAGAAGGCCUUCGGGUUGUAAAGUACUUUCAGCGGGGAGGAAGGGAGUAAAGUUAAUACCUUUGCUCAUUGACGUUACCCGCAGAAGAAGCACCGGCUAACUCCGUG